CGUAGGGUGCGAGCGUUAAUCGGAAUUACUGGGCGUAAAGCGUGCGCAGGCGGUUUUGUAAGACAGAUGUGAAAUCCCCGGGCUCAACCUGGGACCUGCAUUUGUGACUGCAAGGCUAGAGUACGGUAGAGGGGGAUGGAAUUCCGCGUGUAGCAGUGAAAUGCGUAGAUAUGCGGAGGAACACCGAUGGCGAAGGCAAUCCCCUGGACCUGUACUGACGCUCAUGCACGAAAGCGUGGGGAGCAAACAGGAUUAGAUACCCUGGUAGUCCACGCCCUAAACGAUGUCAACCGGUUGUUGGGUCUUUACUGACUCAGUAACGAAGCUAACGCGUGAAGUUGACCGCCUGGGGAGUACGGCCGCAAGGUUG
This 370-nucleotide ribosomal RNA is filed under the name uncultured organism. RNAcentral describes it as "bacterial SSU rRNA". It matches the Rfam family "Bacterial small subunit ribosomal RNA", at positions 526 to 896 of the family's 1533-position model. The record is from RNAcentral.